RNAcentral lists this long non-coding RNA (4250 nucleotides) under Lynx pardinus (Iberian lynx). Lineage: Eukaryota; Metazoa; Chordata; Mammalia; Carnivora; Felidae. The record is from RNAcentral.
CCCUCAAUUAUGUAACUUGUCCAUGGGACAAGAUCAGAUCCUGCAGUAAAUAGAGCACCUGGGUGGUGGGAGCAGUAGAAAGAAAGCUGUCUUGCCUCUUUGGGAAUGGAAAGAACAGAGUGGUCAAGGACUAAUCCUGUGACACCACAAACAGACUUUCAAGAGAUUGUGGAGGGGACAAUGCCAAGUUCAUAUGACAGACAGCUCUUUUAAUGCUUGUACAGUGCCACUUAUUCAUCUGAGGAGGCAAAAGGAAAUUCUUUCAACCCUAAUCCCAGACACAGAAAGGAGCCCAGGUUUACGCCCCUCCCUGCCAAGGACAGAGUGCCACUCAACUUCGUCUUUGCCUACAAGGUGAACCAGCUGCCCAAGCCCGCUAAUGACAUCACAUCUUGAGGGGUGAGGAAAAUAAAAUUGCGGGAGUUUUUUCUUAGCAUGAGAUGUAUUCAAAGUCCAUUUCCACUGCAAUGUCCAAGUACCAGUGUUUCUUGGGAAGAAAAAUAACUAAAGAAAAAAAUUUUUACGCAGUUAAUAUUGGGUGGGGGGAGGGGCGAUCAAUUUAGAAAUGUAGACAAAGGUGCUUUGUAAAUGUGAAGUAAAAAGAUUUUUUUAAGCUGGUUGCUAUUACUGCUCUCAGUUCCAACUCCUUUAUCUCACCAGUGAGAAAACGGACUCCAGAACAUGUUGACUUUCUCAAGAUCAUGUCAUUCCCUUGCUCAAAGAACUUUCAAGAGCUGUCCAUUGCCCACCAGAAAAAAACUUUACAUCUCUUAGACUUUCACUUAAGGCCUUUCUUAUCCUGAUACAGAUUACUUUUCAAAUCAAAUCACCAAUCAAUUACUGAACAGCUACUAAGGUCAAGACACUGUUGGGCUCUGUGAGCAUAGGCAGUCAGAAAAUAUGUUUUAUUUAUUCAAAUAUAUUCUAUUUCCCACAGGAACAAUAACUAUAAUUAAACUCAUCCGCCCUCUACACUCCAAACUUCCCCUGGAUUUUUUUUCCACCUUGGCAUCUUUAUGCAUGGCAUUUCCCACAUCUAAAAUGCUUUCAACCAUCACUACCUCUUUAUUUCAAAACUUUACCCAUCUUCUCAGGCCCAGCUCAAAUGUUAUCUUUUUUAGGAAGUCUCCCCACACAAUACUAGACCAGUGGUUCCCAACCAGGGCAAAUUCCUUCCCCAGGAGAUAUUUGGCAAUGUCUGGAGAAAUUUUUGAUUAUCGCAACAGGCAGUGGCUUCUCUGAGUAAAAGCCAGAGAUGCUAUUAAACACCCUACAAUGAAUAGAAAACUCCAACAACAAAGACUUCUCCAGCCCAAAAUGUCAAUAAUGCUAAGGGUGAGCCACCCUGUACUAGAAGAAAGUGGAAACUCCUCUGAACUACAACACUGAAUGUGUGAACAUUCUUUUGGCAUUUAGCAUAGAUUUUAUUAUCUUUUUGCUACAUUCUCUCUGUCUUCAUGUAUUCUUUUUCCAAACAAUUUGGAAAUUUGGAAAUGAGAGUAACAAUUUUAUGCUAGUCAGCAUCUCCUUCAAUAUUUGAUUCCAUACCUAUGUAAUCAUUGAAAAAAAUCUCUUGAUAAAAUAUUUUUCUAUUCUUCAGUAACAAUGAGCACUCCAGGUUCACAGUUUCACUGUCACAUUUCACCAGUUCCAAUAUCCGUAAGAGUCCCUCAUUUUUAUGCUACCUCCUCAAAUUCCUUACUUUCAUGAAAAUAUGAAGUCCCAACGAAAAACAAAAUGCCAUAAUCCUAAAUUGGUCGGAUGAAUCUGACUCAGGUUGAAAAAGGAGUGUGUCAAGUUUGGCACAACACAGACAUGUACCUAAAUCUCUACUUCGUUUGUCAUCCAUUUCCCCACAUGCAGACUUCAUGUACUCUGUUCUCUCUGUAUAACUUCUCACGAGCUUAGAGUAGAAAGAAGGAGUCAGGUACCUGCAGCAAUUCUUACACUUUCUGUUAUGGCUAACAUGGGGUACAAUUUAAGCAGGACAGGGUUAAAAACUAAAUGCCUUCAGCACUGAAAAGAUUAUCCUUCAUACUCCUCCCAUAUGGAAUUCAAAACAAGUUCAACCAAGUUAUAACUUCCCAUAUAGCAUCUACUUCUACACUGGUGCUUCUAAACUAUGUCUAAUUCUUUCAAACAAAAUGUUUCUCUCUCUCUCUCUCUUUCUCUCUCUAUCUCCUAUUUUAGCAACACCCUCACCAUAUGCUUAGUCUUCCAAUAGAGAAAUCAUCCGUGGCUGAAAGAAAUGGUCAUUGUCUGAUAUCCUUAGCCUACUAAUUUUGAAAAAUUUUCUUCUUUUUUAGAACAUAUGUUUCUUUUUUAAAAAAUAAUGUCUUUUAUUUUUUAAGUUUAUUUAUUUCGAGAGAAAGAGAUAAUGUGAGUGGGGGAGGGGCAGAGAAAGGGAAAGAGGGAAUCCCAAGCAGGCUCCACACUGUCAGCACAGAGCCCGAUGCAGGGCUCAAACCACGAAAUUAUGGUUUAUUUAUUUGAUGGGAAAUUACAUAUAAAGUAAGAAUUAAAUAUGAAACUGUAUAUUCAGUCUAAUGCUAAUUGUAUGAAUAUAGCAUGUAAAUUAUUCAAGAGAUAAAACUUAGAAAGUGCAUCAAACUAGAUCAUGACCCAAGCCUAAAUCAAGAGUCAGUCGUCCAACCAACUAAGCCACCUGGGCUCCCUUAGAACAUAUAUUUCUAAUGAAUGCCAAAAUAACCAAAUAAGAACAUCUCCAAACAUCUAAUGAAAGUCUGGCCUAUCUCUGUAACUAAUCCAAAAAAAUCUAGGGAAAAUAGAACCGCAUCUUCAUUAAAAUGUUUGCCUAGAACAGUGCUUUUCUUUUCUUUUUUUUAAUGUUUAUUUAUUUUUGAGAGAAAGAGACAGAGCAUACGCAGGAGGGGGCAGAGAGAGAGGGAGACACAGAAUCCGAAGCAGGCUCCAGGCUCUGAGCUGUCAGCACAGCACAGAGCCUGAUGGGGGGCUUGCACUCGCGAGGUGAGAUCAUGACCUGAGCUGAAGUCCGAUGCUUAAUUGAGUGAGCCACCCUGGUGCCCCUAGAGCAGUGCUUUUCAAUGGGGUGAAGGAGAAAGUGAUUUUCCUCCCCAGAUAGUGUUGCCAGAUUUAGCAAAUAAAAAUACAGGAUGCUCAGUCAAAUUUGAAUUUCAAAUAAAAAACAAAAAAGGGUUUUUUAUAAGCACUUCAUAUAAAAUAACUUAUUUAAUCCCAUGACAAUUUUAAAAUGUAGGCAUGGAAACCAAGGUUUAGAGAGGUUAAACAGAUUACCCCGACACAAAGCUGGGAAAAGAUGGGCCUGAAUCCAGGUAUGACUCCAGAGCCCAAUGGCUUGCACAUUCUGAUAUUUACCAAGUCAGAAUAUACUCUUCAACAUAAUCAAAAUAAGUUUUUAAUGUAAAUAUGUCCCAUUCAAUAUUUCAGACAUAUUUUAAAAGAAUUCAUUUUUUAUCUGAUAUUCAAAUUUCACAGAGUAUCCUGUGUUUUUUUUUUAAUCUGGCAUCCUAUCCCAUGGGGACAUCUGGCAAUGUCUAGAGACAUUUUGGGGUGUCAGAACAAGGAAGGAUGCUACUGGCAUAUGUAAAGACCAGGAAUGAUGUAAAUGUCCUACAAUAUAUAGGACACUUCACCACAACAAAGAAUUAUUCAGUCCAAAAUGUCAAUAAUGUCAAUGUUGAGAAAUCCUGAUCUAGAAUCACCUUUGAGAAUAUCUAAUCUGCCCUCUUCUUUUAAUCAGAGAGGAAAAGAAGACCCAGAAGAGCUAACGUAAUGUGCUCUAAGACUCACAGCUAAUUACUUUCAAAUCCAGUCAACUUGGAGGCAAACCCAGAAAACCAGUUCCAUUUCUGUGUGGCCCGGAAAUAUUACCUACUAAAGCAGAUACACUUAAGCUAUCCAAGAGUGUAUUCCUUCAGAUUUCCCCCAUAGAGAACAUCAAUCAAGCCCUUGGGUGGCCUCUGCCUGGGAGGAAGAGGAGGUAUAGGGCUCGAGACAAAAUUUUUGUUCAAAUAUUUUUCCAAAUCUUUUUCCCCAACGUUAAUUUUAUUUAUAGGAAAGGAAGGGAAGAGUAAAACUGCUGGCUUGGAAUGAGUUCCAAUCAUGUCUAUUCUCCCCUGCUCCCACUUUUUCUUUGACCUACAAAGACACAUUGUUUGAGUCUUUAGGAGAGGUUAACUUUCCUUAUUCAAGGAUCUCCUGGCUCCUGGAUGUGGGAAAAUUGCUUAAGUAGAAACCAGCCCGAAGAA